Molecule: small nucleolar RNA, 124 nt
Filed under: Dasypus novemcinctus (nine-banded armadillo)
Lineage: Eukaryota; Metazoa; Chordata; Mammalia; Cingulata; Dasypodidae
Description: Small nucleolar RNA SNORA24 (ENSDNOG00000027930.1)
Rfam family: Small nucleolar RNA SNORA24
About the family: ACA24 is a member of the H/ACA class of snoRNA that guide the sites of modification of uridines to pseudouridines.
Source: RNAcentral
UUACAUUUGCUGUCUGUAAAGUGAAUUCACUCCCUUCCUAGCCAUGAAAGAGCAUUUUCUUGUUUAUUGGCAAAGCUGUCACCAUUUAAUUGGUAUCAGAUUCUGACUUGCACAAGUAACAUUC